Molecule: long non-coding RNA, 223 nt
Filed under: Ananas comosus (pineapple)
Lineage: Eukaryota; Viridiplantae; Streptophyta; Magnoliopsida; Poales; Bromeliaceae
Description: long non-coding RNA (ACOM_LNC033580)
Source: RNAcentral
CUGAACUACAGCUUCUUUUUUUUUAUUUUUUAUUUUUUAUUUACUCAAUAAGCAUGCAUAUAUAUAAUAUUUGAUAUAUGAAAAGUGUGAUCAAGCUCUCUUGGCGAUAUUGUGGAUCACUUGUUUACUUUCUUCAAGUAUCAGCUGGGAACAGAGUGUACCCCCCACAAUAGCAUCAAUUUAUCACUAUUGUAUAGAGAAGAACAUGUUGAACUACUGAAUC